UGUGGUAUUAUAAUAGUUACACCUGGCAAAAAAAUGUUCAUAAAAGAUAACCAUUGCAGCUAUUAGAAUGAAUUACUAUAAACUCCAAUGUGUUUAAAUCUAAUGACCCAAUAUUUGCUUAUAAGCUUAUUUACUGCUUUAGUUUCAGCUAAAAAUUUCUUGCUUUUAAUGCAAUUUAUAGAGUGCCUCAAUGAACUACUGUACUUUAUAAAAGUUUAUGCUUACAUGAUGAAUUAACAACCACUUUUAGUCUUUUAUUGUUUGUGUUGUAAUCAGGUACAUCACCAACAAAAAAACAAAAAAAC
This is a non-coding RNA of Biomphalaria pfeifferi, 305 nucleotides long. NCBI's taxonomy places the organism in Eukaryota, Metazoa, Mollusca, Gastropoda, Planorbidae. The record is from the annotation of a GenBank genome assembly.